AUUCACUCCUGCUUCCAGGAGAGCAUGAUCAAGGAGUGUGGCUGUGCCUACAUCUUCUAUCCGCGGCCCCAGAACGUGGAGUACUGUGACUACAGAAAGCACAGUUCGUGGGGCCAGGCACGGCGGCUCAUGCCUGUAAUUCCAGCACUUUGGGAGGCCGAGGUGGGCGGAUCACGAGGUCAGGAGAUCGAGACCAUCCCGGCUAACACAGAGAAACCCCGUCUCUACUAAAGAUACAAAAAAUUAGCCGGGCGUGGUGUCGGAAGCCUGUAGUCCCCGCUACCCGGGAGGCUGAGGCAGGAGAAUGGCUAUUGCUACUAUAAGCUCCAGGUUGACUUCUCCUCAGACCACCUGGGCUGUUUCACCAAGUGCCGGAAGCCAUGCAGCGUGACCAGCUACCAGCUCUCUGCUGGUUACUCACGAUGGCCCUCGGUGACAUCCCAGGAAUGGGUCUUCCAGAUGCUAUCGCGGCAGAACAAUUACACCGUCAACAACAAGAG
Molecule: small RNA, 500 nt
Filed under: Pongo abelii (Sumatran orangutan)
Lineage: Eukaryota; Metazoa; Chordata; Mammalia; Primates; Hominidae
Description: processed transcript
Source: RNAcentral